UGGGGAAUUUUGGACAAUUGGGCGAAAGCCUGAUCCAGCAAUGCCGCGUGUGUGAAGAAGGCCUUCGGGUUGUAAAGCACUUUUGUCCGGAAAGAAAUCCUUGGCUCUAAUACAGUCGGGGGAUACGGUACCGGAAGAAUAAGCACCGGCUAACUACGUGCCAGCAGCCGCGGUAAUACGUAGGGUGCAAGCGUUAAUCGGAAUUACUGGGCGUAAGCGUGCGCAGGCGGUUUGCUAAGACCGAUNUGAAAUCCCCGGGCUCAACCUGGGAACUGCAUUGGUGACUGGCAGGCUAGAGUAUGGCAGAGGGGGGUUAGAAUUCCACGUGUAGCAGUGAAAUGCGUAGAGAUGUGGAGGAAUACCGAUGGCGAAGGCAGCCCCCUGGGCCAAUACUGACGCUCAUGCACG
This 408-nucleotide ribosomal RNA is filed under the name uncultured bacterium. Its description in RNAcentral is "partial 16S ribosomal RNA". It matches the Rfam family "Bacterial small subunit ribosomal RNA", at positions 355 to 755 of the family's 1533-position model. The record is from RNAcentral.